This 440-nucleotide ribosomal RNA is filed under the name uncultured bacterium. RNAcentral describes it as "partial 16S ribosomal RNA". It matches the Rfam family "Bacterial small subunit ribosomal RNA", at positions 338 to 795 of the family's 1533-position model. The record is from RNAcentral.
CCUACGGGUGGCAGCAGUGGGGAAUAUUGCACAAUGGAGGAAACUCUGAUGCAGCGACGCCGCGUGAGUGAGGAAGUAUUUCGGUAUGGAAAGCUCUAUCAGCAGGGAAGAAAAUGACGGUACCUGACUAAGAAGCCACGGCUAACUACGUGCCAGCAGCCGCGGUAAUACGUAGGGGGCCAGCGUUAUCCGGAUUUACUGGGUGUAAAGGGAGCGUAGACGGUUAAUCAAGUCAGAAGUGAAAGUCUAGGGCUCAACCUUGGGACUGCUUUUGAAACUGAGUAGCUUGAGUGCAGGAGAGGUAAGCGGAAUUCCUAGUGUAGCGGUGAAAUGCGUAGAUAUUAGGAGGAACACCAGUGGCGAAGGCGGCUUACUGGACUGUAACUGACGUUGAGGCUCGAAAGCGUGGGGAGCAAACAGGAUUAGAUACCCGAGUAGUC